RNAcentral lists this ribosomal RNA (479 nucleotides) under Salmonella enterica subsp. enterica serovar 1,4,[5],12:i:-. Its description in RNAcentral is "partial 23S ribosomal RNA". It matches the Rfam family "Bacterial large subunit ribosomal RNA", at positions 2061 to 2539 of the family's 2925-position model. The record is from RNAcentral. Lineage: Bacteria; Pseudomonadati; Pseudomonadota; Gammaproteobacteria; Enterobacterales; Enterobacteriaceae.
GCAGUGUACCCGCGGCAAGACGGAAAGACCCCGUGAACCUUUACUAUAGCUUGACACUGAACAUUGAGCCUUGAUGUGUAGGAUAGGUGGGAGGCUUUGAAGUGUGGACGCCAGUCUGCAUGGAGCCGACCUUGAAAUACCACCCUUUAAUGUUUGAUGUUCUAACGUGGACCCGUAAUCCGGGUUGCGGACAGUGUCUGGUGGGUAGUUUGACUGGGGCGGUCUCCUCCUAAAGAGUAACGGAGGAGCACGAAGGUUGGCUAAUCCUGGUCGGACAUCAGGAGGUUAGUGCAAUGGCAUAAGCCAGCUUGACUGCGAGCGUGACGGCGCGAGCAGGUGCGAAAGCAGGUCAUAGUGAUCCGGUGGUUCUGAAUGGAAGGGCCAUCGCUCAACGGAUAAAAGGUACUCCGGGGAUAACAGGCUGAUACCGCCCAAGAGUUCAUAUCGACGGCGGUGUUUGGCACCUCGAUGUCGGCUCA